This 301-nucleotide ribosomal RNA is filed under the name uncultured bacterium. RNAcentral's name for it is "partial 16S ribosomal RNA". It matches the Rfam family "Bacterial small subunit ribosomal RNA", at positions 509 to 807 of the family's 1533-position model. The record is from RNAcentral.
CAGUCGCCACGGUAAUACGUAGGGUGCGAGCGUUAAUCGGAAUUACUGGGCGUAAAGCGUGCGCAGGCGGUUCGUUAAGACAGAUGUGAAAUCCCCGGGCUUAACCUGGGAACUGCAUUUGUGACUGGCGAGCUAGAGUAUGGCAGAGGGGGGUGGAAUUCCGCGUGUAGCAGUGAAAUGCGUAGAUAUGCGGAGGAACACCGAUGGCGAAGGCAGCCCCCUGGGCCAACACUGACGCUCAUGCACGAAAGCGUGGGGAGCAAACAGGAUUAGAUACCCCAGUAGUCCCUGUCUCUUAUAC